AAUUUUACUUCUUAAAAAAAUACUAUUAGGAAUUUUUUUAGAGACAUUACUGUACAUUGUUUAAUCAGCUGAUUGGACCAGCACAAUAUAGCUUUAAUAGUUAUCCUUGUAUCUUCUCCUUUGGUGCAUUUACAAAAUACAUGAUUCUUUAUUCUAGAGAGUAAUAUAAUUCCUUUGUUCUUAUAUGUUAUUAGAUAAUAUUGAAACAUCGAUUUAGAUUUCGAGCACCAAGUUCUGAAAUUUUACUGUUUCCAUUCCAAUUGAUCCUGGAGUUCCACUUCAUAUGUGGAAGUGGAAAUUUGAGAAUACAUCAACACACCUCCAAAGAAUGAAGAAGGUAUCAUCGACUGUGAAAAGUCCUACAUUGCCGUGUCAGAUGAAGGAACAUGGCAUGUCCCUUGAUAACCCAGGAUCUUUACUGGGUACCUUUCAACCACCAGAUGGAAUCACAUUAGCAAUUUUUCUUUCAGAGAUCGACAAUGAAACCAUUUGUCUUAUCAGGUUCAUCAGAUAAAAUAAUAAAUAUAAUAGCAGCAGUUGCACUGGAUGGAGUUUCAGCAUUGGUAGGCAUUGUUUAUGUGGGAAUUUAUAAAAAGAACGAAUAAAAGGUUGCCGCACAUCUCCCGGCAUCUUCUGAUCUAUCCCAUCUACCUGAUCCUCUUUUAUUAACUUAAUGUUGUCAAUGUGUUCCAUCUGCCAAUGUGUACUGACCGAGUCUGUCUGUAAAUAUAUUUUGUAUUUUGUUUGCCAGCUGCCAGUCAUCAAGUUCGAUCAACUUAACCUCAAGAUAACUUAAACAAAGGAAAAAGUAUACAAUCCUCUGACCAUUUCUCAAACAAGAACAACAAAUAGCAACGUCCAGGCACUGAGAAGGAAAUAUGUGCAAUGAAGGAGUUGAAGAGUUGAUGUUCCCGGGACACGUUGCAAUUGCUAGAAUACUUCUUUUUUCUUCUGAAUUUCUUUUGUUUCUAACUUACUAGAUCAUCCCUUUUAACUAAAUCAUUCAUAACUUGAAUAAGUUGCUUCAUUGCAAAUUGUGGCUUAUAUAGUUGAAAUAAGUUCCAUCAAUACUCUGUUUAC
Solanum stenotomum is the source of this 1080-nucleotide long non-coding RNA. RefSeq lists it as uncharacterized. Lineage: Eukaryota; Viridiplantae; Streptophyta; Magnoliopsida; Solanales; Solanaceae. The transcript is spliced from 4 exons. The record is from RefSeq and is a predicted model, not a curated record.